AGCAUAUCAAUAAGCGGAGGAAAAGAAACUAACAAGGAUUCCCCUAGUAACUGCGAGUGAAGCGGGAAAAGCUCAAAUUUGAAAUCUGGCAGUUUUCUGUCCGAGUUGUAAUCUAGAGAAGUGUUACCUGUGCUGGACCGUGUACAAGUCUCCUGGAAUGGAGCAUCACAGAGGGUGAGAAUCCCGUCUUUGACAUGGACUCCCAGUGCGAAUUAUGGGUGCACUCUCGAAGAGUCGAGUUGUUUGGGAAUGCAGCUCAAAAUGGGUGGUAAAUGCCAUCUAAAGCUAAAUAUUGGCGAGAGACCGAUAGCGAACAAGUACCGUGAGGGAAAGAUGAAAAGAACUUUGGAAAGAGAGUUAAACAGUACGUGAAAUUGCUGAAAGGGAAACGCUUGAAGUCAGUCGCGUCAGCUGGAAAUCAGCCUUGCUUCUGCAUGGUGUACUUUCUGGUUUGACGGGUCAGCAUCAAUUUUGAUCAUCAGAUAAAGUCUAUGGGAAUGUGGCAUCCUUGGAUGUGUUAUAGCCCAGAGUUGCAUAUGGUGGUUGGGAUUGAGGAACUCAGCACGCCGCAAGGCCAGGUUUCGACCAUGUUCGUGCUUAGGAUGCUGGCAUAAUGGCUUUAAUCGACCCGUCUUGAAACACGGACCAAGGAGUCUAACAUGCCUGCGAGUGUUUGGGUGGAAAACCCAUGCGCGCAAUGAAAGUGAAAGUUGAGAUCCCUUCAGGGAGCAUUGACGCCCAGACCAGACCUUCUGUGACGGAUCUGCGGUAGAGCAUGUAUGUUGGGACCCGAAAGAUGGUGAACUAUGCCUGAAUAGGGUGAAGCCAGAGGAAACUCUGGUGGAGGCUCGUAGCGAUUCUGACGUGCAAAUCGAUCGUCAAAUUUGGGUAUAGGGGCGAAAGACUAAUCG
Molecule: ribosomal RNA, 911 nt
Filed under: Inocybe albofloccosa
Lineage: Eukaryota; Fungi; Basidiomycota; Agaricomycetes; Agaricales; Inocybaceae
Description: eukaryotic LSU rRNA
Rfam family: Eukaryotic large subunit ribosomal RNA
Source: RNAcentral